Haliotis rubra (blacklip abalone) is the source of this 3722-nucleotide RNA transcript. It is a transcript of the gene named retinol dehydrogenase 16-like, with no coding region annotated. Lineage: Eukaryota; Metazoa; Mollusca; Gastropoda; Lepetellida; Haliotidae. The transcript is spliced from 6 exons. The record is from RefSeq and is a predicted model, not a curated record.
CCUCAUGGCUAGUUCGUGGAACGAAGAGCACAGUGGGUGAACCAACAACACGACUGCGAGGCGAUCAGACAUGAUUCUCUGGGUCGUCCUUUCCGCGUGUAUCGUCAUGGUAACGAUGUUUACCAAGUGGUUGAUAGGGAAACAGACUGUGGGCAACUAUGGUGACAGAUAUGUUCUGAUAACCGGCUGCAACAGUGGCUUUGGGAACCUUCUGGCCAAACGUCUUGACUCUCUUGGCUUCAACGUGUUUGCUGCCUGCCAUAGCGAUAACGGUGUAGAUGAACUCAACGCCGCGACGUCAAAGCGACUUGUGACCUUAAAGCUGGAAAUUGCUGAUGAGAGCAGUAUACGCAGUGCUGUGGAGUUUGUCAAGUCAAGGAUUCCUGAUGGUACAGGUCUAUGGGCACUCAUCAACAACGCCGGCACAGCUGCCUCUCUCGGACCCGUUGAUUGGCUGGAGCGACAAGAUUACGCAAGCGCACUUGACGUCAAUCUUCUCGGUCUCGUUGACAUCACAAGGUCGUUUCUACCACUGUUGCGUGAAGGUCAAGGUCGAGUUGUCAACAUGUCGAGUAUUCUGACCAAAGUUGGUAUGGGGCCAUCACCAUAUGUGGUAUCGAAAUACGCAGUGGAAGGAUUUUCCGACUGUCUCAGGCUUGAGCUGUUCCGUCAGGGAGUGUCUGUUAUCGUUCUUCAACCAGGCUUCUACAGAACCAACUUUCUACCAGUGGAGACGAUGGUGGUCAAAUACAAGCAGAGCUUCAGACACGCCCACCAAGAUGUCCAGACGUUCUAUGGGGAGGAGUAUUUAGAGAAGGCUUUGAAACAUUGCCACGAUAUCGACUCCAUGACGUCAUCUGACCUGUCACAGGUCACGAGGGCCUACGUGCACGCGGUGACUGCACGAUUCCCACGUGCGCGUUACAUUGUGGGUCGAGACGCUAACAUCAUGUUCCGCGUGUUGUGGAUCCUCCCGCUGUGGAUGAAGGACAGGCUACUGGCGCUACAUUACAUUAAACCAGAGGGAACACAGAAGAAUGGCCAGUCUGCAAAUGGCGGAAUACCAUCAUGAAAUAGUGGAAGGAGAGCUACCAAUAACUCUAUGUGAAUUCAAGAAAAUUCGGAUGAGUGGGCUCUGAGAAACAUGGAUGGUAGUCAGUUCCAGAUUCCAUGUCAAAUGACGACCGUUACAGUGAUGUGACGAAGAUAAAUGUCAAAGAUACCAACUGCCAUACUACCUGAUGUUAAUCCUGAAGUGGGGCUUUUACAACAGUGGAUCUUCUUUCAGGUUACGGAAAGCAGGGAGAAUAGAAGACGUAGAUUAUCCCUGCAGAAAGGAACGAUAAGUGCUGAAUGUACUCAUUCGUAACUACUCGUGUCAUUCCGGCAAGGUCAGCUGGUCACGGAAAGAGGCGAGUGGUGACGAAUGGGGACGAGUUUUCUCGGAGGUUACGGAAAAGGGCGAGUGGUGACAAAUGAACAUUAAUCACGAAUACGUUCAACUGACUGAAGCGUUACUAAAAUCUCACAGACUGAUUGUGGUCCCAUGUACUUACAUCCUGUUUCUUGAUUUCAAUUUACCAAUGCUACUGGCUACGCUACUAGGUCUAUCGUUCCAGAGGCCAUAAAUUUGAUUAUAUGGUCUCUGAUCGUUCUAAUCAGAAUGCGAGUUACAGGCUAGGGUUAAUUGUGGCGGCCCCUUCCAUUGAUAAUGAUGGAUUUAGCGAGAAAUUCAAUAUUUAAAAAGAAAGUGCACUCAAAGACCUUUUUAAUGGAACGAAUGGCUUCACGUACAACUGACAUUCGUCACCUCUCGCCGCUUUCCGUAAACUGUAAGAAUCGCCUGUUUAGUCCCGAAUCGUCCAUUGAAACUGGUGGUGGCUUUGGUUUAUAGGUGCUACGAGUUAUCUCCCUUACGUCGACGUUUGCUUGGUCGGUUAACGUUGAAACUCAAGGUCGGGUAAUUUGCCAUCCAGGGGAAUGGAUCCAGCGGUUAUGAAGUUAUAUCAGACUGCAUCCCCCGAGAUAUAGAGGAUGGUGUAUCUCAUACACGUGUUUAAAUGGUGCAGUAAGAAAAUAUCUUAUGUGAAAUACGUACUGAUAAACUUAGUAUAUCUUAUUCGUUAUAAAGUGUCUCAAGGGCCGCUGAAUUCGUUCAUUGAUGUGGAAGUUGCGGGUCAAGAUUUGUUAAUGCAAAUACAACUAGACAACGUACGGAACUCAUCAGCGUACGGCGUGGGUUAGUUUUAGUGACAAAACCGCUUCAUACGGUUGCAAGGUUGUCUUUGUGUGAUGAUUAAGGUUAGAUGCAUGUUAACUCCAUAUUUCACUAUCUAUUGAUACACAUGUUUGUAGCCAGUUAAUGCGCUUUAUUCUGACUUGUUAUUGUUAAGCCAUGAAAUGCAGUAAGUUACAUGAAACUGACUUUCAUGUCAAGAAUGUAAAGGAAGUCUACGAAUGGUCCGACGCGCCUAAACCGGAUUUUAUGAACCAUUGAGAACCUGUUAUUAUUGAACGGCUUCCGACAGAGACCGGGAUACUGAGAUUAUAGUCACGUUUAUAUUACAAAUGUACAACAAUAAAUUUUUGAUAGAGAUAUUACCUCAAUCUACGAUUUGUCUACGAUUUGUGAUGAAAGCUCUAUUUGAUGAAACUUCCAAUUGGACUGAUUAAAUCAUGUUGCAUGUUACAAUGUUUUCCAUUAAACGUCGGCAAAGUGUAUUGGUUGUUUAAAGAUAGACACAUGACGUCACAUGCAUUAGCGGGAAAGGUCAACCAAGGAUGAGGACCCUUUGUGGCCCCCAGGAUCUGCUUGAUUCAAUAAAUGAGCCCGGCAUAUAUAUAUUGCUCGGAAAGGUAUAAGACAAAUGAAGGAUAACUCGAUUAUUCAUGUUUUGGACUUAGCACCAAUCGGUAAAUUACACUUAAGACGAAAGAGUGUCAGAAAAUACGAUUUGGCAGGCGUCCGAUAAUGAUGAUUGUGAUUUUGUUCUUAACAUUUUAUUUUCAAAUUUCCUGUAGUUCAUAAUGGAUAAUAAUCCUGCCUCAAUUGAUGAUCGUAUUUCCCCCGCGGUCGGGCUUGUCGGAGGUUCUAUUUGCUUCCCCUGCGGUCGGCUUGUCCGGAUUGACAAUGUUCUAAUUGCUUCGACUGCGGUCGGGCUUGUCCGGAUUGACAAGGUUCUAAUUGCUUCGACUGCGGUCGGGCUUGUCCGAACUGACAAGAUUCUAAUUACUUCGACUGCGGUCGGGCUUGUCCGGAUUGACAAGGUUCUAAUUGCUUCGACUGCGGUCGGGCUUGUCCGGAUUGACAAGGUUCUAAUUGCUUCGACUUCGGUCGGGCUCUUCCUGAUUGACAAGGUUCUAAUUGCUUCGACUGCGGUCGUUCUUGUCCAGAUUGACAAGGUUCUAAUUGCUUUGACUUCGGUCGGGUUUGUCCGAAUUGACAAGGUUCUAAUUGCUUCCACUGCUGUCGGGCUUGUCCGGAUUGACGAGGUUCUAAUUGCUUCCGUCAGUCCCAAAACGUCAGCAUUAAUAUUCAAAUCAUCAAUGAUUUCAUACCUUGUCCCACAGAUGGCUAUUAUAUUCAACUUUUGAUAAGGACACCGAGGUCUAAUGAAAUGAGUCUCGGAGAGAUGACCACAAAUAUCCGUCUCAUGAAAAUGUCAAAUACUGUUUUUUUGGUGCGACAAGCUGUCAGUGGCAUUCAGUCCCUACAGGAACAG